Molecule: long non-coding RNA, 538 nt
Organism: Dendrobium catenatum
Lineage: Eukaryota; Viridiplantae; Streptophyta; Magnoliopsida; Asparagales; Orchidaceae
Exons: 4
Source: RefSeq, a predicted model, not a curated record
UACAACCUUCUUCUUUUACGUGUCUUGUGAGGUGAUCUUUUGGAGAGAAAAGGGGAAGGAACAUUGGAGCACUAGGCAAAGGAGCAUGGACAGUCGGAUCCGAGCAUCAGUCGCCCCCAUUCAGUCUGGUGGGGGCGUGAUCGGCGGAACCACCGAGUCAUAGCCCCCGGUGCUGGGGAUUCCCUAUAUGAUGAUGAUCAAAAGGUUCAGAGUUCAAAAUGCGAAGCACUCAUUUGGAUUCCAAGUUUUAUGAACAUAUUGAUCCUUCAUCUGACAAGUCAAAAAAACUUCAACUUCAUACAUUAAUCAUUUGUUCCAUAGUUUUUUGAAGUGAAUCCUCCCCAAACCCAGGAAGAAAUUAAAAAAUUUGAACUCCAAGAUUUCUAGCUUGAUACAUUUUAGUUGCCAAGUUUUUUUUAGCUAUAAAUGUAAACUUUUUUUGUAUAUAUAGGCUAUUUUUUGUAAACAUUCGUUGUAUAGAAAGGUCAAUAAAUAUUAUAAGGAUAAUGACAUAAGUACACUAAUUAUACUUUUUACU